Molecule: ribosomal RNA, 253 nt
Filed under: uncultured bacterium
Lineage: Bacteria
Description: partial 16S ribosomal RNA
Rfam family: Bacterial small subunit ribosomal RNA
Source: RNAcentral
UACGAAGGGGGCUAGCGUUGCUCGGAAUUACUGGGCGUAAAGCGCACGUAGGCGGCUUUCUAAGUCGGGGGUGAAAUCCUGGAGCUCAACUCCAGAACUGCCUUCGAUACUGGAGAGCUUGAGUCCGGGAGAGGUGAGUGGAACUGCGAGUGUAGAGGUGAAAUUCGUAGAUAUUCGCAAGAACACCAGUGGCGAAGGCGGCUCACUGGCCCGGUACUGACGCUGAGGUGCGAAAGCGUGGGAAGCAAACAGG